This 102-nucleotide non-coding RNA is filed under the name Jannaschia donghaensis. RNAcentral's name for it is "TPP sequence". It matches the Rfam family "TPP riboswitch aptamer (THI element)". From Rfam's summary of the family: Vitamin B(1) in its active form thiamin pyrophosphate (TPP) is an essential coenzyme that is synthesised by coupling of pyrimidine and thiazole moieties in bacteria. The previously detected thiamin-regulatory element, thi box was extended, resulting in a new, highly conserved RNA secondary structure, the THI element, which is widely distributed in eubacteria and also occurs in some archaea. Analysis of operon structures identified a large number of new candidate thiamin-regulated genes, mostly transporters, in various prokaryotic organisms. Lineage: Bacteria; Pseudomonadati; Pseudomonadota; Alphaproteobacteria; Rhodobacterales; Roseobacteraceae. The record is from Rfam by way of RNAcentral.
GUCAGCACCUCGGGGGGCCUGACAACAGGCUGAGAUGCUUCAAAGCGACCCGUUGAACCUGAACCGGUUAAGACCGGCGGAGGGAAGGUGCGAUGUCCGCGG